Molecule: long non-coding RNA, 891 nt
Filed under: Saimiri boliviensis boliviensis (Bolivian squirrel monkey)
Lineage: Eukaryota; Metazoa; Chordata; Mammalia; Primates; Cebidae
Description: lncRNA (ENSSBOG00000036509.1)
Source: RNAcentral
ACUCCCACAGCCGUCUUGCUCCCUGCAGGGACUCACAGCCAAGGCCUCCUCCGUGGCGAGCUCCGUGGCCCCUCGCCUGCGCAGGCGUUCGAAGAUGACCGUGUCGGCGCCCUUGGUGUAGAGGCCGAUGGUGCCCUCUGGCUUUCGGACUGCGGCGGAACAGGCGCUGCUGCCCAGAGGCGCCCCUGCUGCCCACCCCCAGCAGGGGCCCGGGCCUCGCGGCGGGGCUCACCCAGCACCGACAUCCGUUUGCGCACGCUGUUGAAGUCCAUGAUGGCCAGGACCUGGUAGACCCGCUCCUCCCCCAGCUCCAUGACAGUGAUGCUGUCCUGGGUGCGGGACAGGAAGACGUAGCCGAAGUUCCGCGCCGCGGUGACCAGCGCCUCCUCGUCGGGGGAGGCCGCCUGAUGGCCAGCAGGCGCCAGAACUCCCGCACCGCCUCGUCCCGGUUGCUCCGCACCAGCCGCAGCAGGGCUGCGUUGUGGAAGAGCAGCUUCCCGUCCGCAAACUCAUUCCAGAGGUAGGGGUUCUCCUGGGGCGGUGGGGGACGGCUGGCUGUGGGCGCUCCUCUCCCCUGCCCCACGCCCCUCACUGUCGCUCGCUGCGGGGUGGACAGGCUCACCUUAGGUCUCCUGGUCUCUGAAUCCGGCCCUGGGGAAAGACCCAGCUUCAGGCCCCAGCUCCGCCAGACCCCCAACGUGGGGGUCCCACAGCCCUUGCCCCCCAGUCUCAGGCUUCCAGGGGCUGCUGGAUGCAGCCACACAAGCCAGGCCUGCGGCUCCGGAAUCCACACCUCAAGCAAUCUUGGGGUGAAAGCUGACCUCCGUUUCCACCAUCUGCACAAAGUGGGGAACACGGGAGCACCCCGUCCUGUCUCCCAGGGACCUCAGA